UUUCUUAAGAAUUAAGGGGCAGACUAUAGGCUGGAGGACUUUGAGGAUGUCCGUCUCAUAACACUUGGUUUAUAUCUGUUCUAUGGGGCUUAUUUUAAGCUCGGCAACUUGCAACAGGGUUCACUGACUUUCUCCCAAGGCCCCAGCUUCCAUAUUGGAUUCUUACCAAUGUACUGCAGAGAUAAAUUUAACUGACC
RNAcentral lists this small RNA (197 nucleotides) under Pan troglodytes (chimpanzee). Its description in RNAcentral is "processed transcript". The record is from RNAcentral. Lineage: Eukaryota; Metazoa; Chordata; Mammalia; Primates; Hominidae.